UACGUAGGGGGCUAGCGUUGUCCGGAUUUAUUGGGCGUAAAGAGCGUGUAGGCGGCCAGGUAGGUCUGCUGUGAAAACUCGAGGCUCAACCUCGAGACGUCGGCGGAAACCAUCUGGCUAGAGUCCGGAAGAGGAGAGUGGGAAUUCCUGGUGUAGCGGUGAAAUGACGCAGAUAUCAGGAAGAACACCCGUGGCGAAGGCGGCUCUCUGGACGGUUUCUGACGCUAAGACGCGAAAGCGUGGGGAGCAAACAGG
This 255-nucleotide ribosomal RNA is filed under the name uncultured bacterium. Its description in RNAcentral is "partial 16S ribosomal RNA". It matches the Rfam family "Bacterial small subunit ribosomal RNA", at positions 524 to 776 of the family's 1533-position model. The record is from RNAcentral.